CAAGUCGAACGGAGCUGAGAGGAGCUUGCUUUUCUUAGCUUAGUGGCGAACGGGUGAGUAACGCGUGAGUAACCUGCCCUGGAGUGGGGGACAACAGUUGGAAACGGCUGCUAAUACCGCAUAAGCCCACGAUCCGGCAUCGGAUUGAGGGAAAAGGAUUUAUUCGCUUCAGGAUGGACUCGCGUCCAAUUAGCUAGUUGGUGAGGUAACGGCCCACCAAGGCGACGAUUGGUAGCCGGACUGAGAGGUUGAACGGCCACAUUGGGACUGAGACACGGCCCAGACUCCUACGGGAGGCAGCAGUGGGGGAUAUUGCACAAUGGGGGAAACCCUGAUGCAGCGACGCCGCGUGGAGGAAGAAGGUCUUCGGAUUGUAAACUCCUGUUGUUGAGGAAGAUAAUGACGGUACUCAACAAGGAAGUGACGGCUAACUACGUGCCAGCAGCCGCGGUAAAACGUAGGUCACAAGCGUUGUCCGGAAUUACUGGGUGUAAAGGGAGCGCAGGCGGGAAGACAAGUUGGAAGUGAAAUCUAUGGGCUCAACCCAUAAACUGCUUUCAAAACUGUUUUUCUUGAGUAGUGCAGAGGUAGGCGGAAUUCCCGGUGUAGCGGUGGAAUGCGUAGAUAUCGGGAGGAACACCAGUGGCGAAGGCGGCCUACUGGGCACCAACUGACGCUGAGGCUCGAAAGUGUGGGUAGCAAACAGGAUUAGAU
This 714-nucleotide ribosomal RNA is filed under the name uncultured bacterium. RNAcentral's name for it is "bacterial SSU rRNA". It matches the Rfam family "Bacterial small subunit ribosomal RNA", at positions 58 to 783 of the family's 1533-position model. The record is from RNAcentral.